GAUGAACGCUGGCGGCGUGCCUAAUACAUGCAAGUCGAGCGAACGGACGAGAAGCUUGCUUCUCUGAUGUUAGCGGCGGACGGGUGAGUAACACGUGGAUAACCUACCUAUAAGACUGGGAUAACUUCGGGAAACCGGAGCUAAUACCGGAUGAUAUUUUGAACCGCAUGGUUCAAAAGUGAAAGACGGUCUUGCUGUCACUUAUAGAUGGAUCCGCGCUGCAUUAGCUAGUUGGUAAGGUAACGGCUUACCAAGGCAACGAUGCAUAGCCGACCUGAGAGGGUGAUCGGCCACACUGGAACUGAGACACGGUCCAGACUCCUACGGGAGGCAGCAGUAGGGAAUCUUCCGCAAUGGGCGAAAGCCUGACGGAGCAACGCCGCGUGAGUGAUGAAGGUCUUCGGAUCGUAAAACUCUGUUAUUAGGGAAGAACAUAUGUGUAAGUAACUGUGCACAUCUUGACGGUACCUAAUCAGAAAGCCACGGCUAACUACGUGCCAGCAGCCGCGGUAAUACGUAGGUGGCAAGCGUUAUCCGGAAUUAUUGGGCGUAAAGCGCGCGUAGGCGGUUUUUUAAGUCUGAUGUGAAAGCCCACGGCUCAACCGUGGAGGGUCAUUGGAAACUGGAAAACUUGAGUGCAGAAGAGGAAAGUGGAAUUCCAUGUGCAGCGGUGAAAUGCGCAGAGAUAUGGAGGAACACCAGUGGCGAAGGCGACUUUCUGGUCUGUAACUGACGCUGAUGUGCGAAAGCGUGGGGAUCAAACAGGAUUAGAUACCCUGGUAGUCCACGCCGUAAACGAUGAGUGCUAAGUGUUAGGGGGUUUCCGCCCCUUAGUGCUGCAGCUAACGCAUUAAGCACUCCGCCUGGGGGGUACGACCGCAAGGUUGAAACUCAAAGGAAUUGACGGGGACCCGCACAAGCGGUGGAGCAUGUGGUUUAAUUCGAAGCAACGCGAAGAACCUUACCAAAUCUUGACAUCCUUUGACAACUCUAGAGAUAGAGCCUUCCCCUUCGGGGGACAAAGUGACAGGUGGUGCAUGGUUGUCGUCAGCUCGUGUCGUGAGAUGUUGGGUUAAGUCCCGCAACGAGCGCAACCCUUAAGCUUAGUUGCCAUCAUUAAGUUGGGCACUCUAAGUUGACUGCCGGUGACAAACCGGGGGAAGGUGGGGAUGACGUCAAAUCAUCAUGCCCCUUAUGAUUUGGGCUACACACGUGCUACAAUGGACAAUACAAAGGGCAGCGAAACCGCGAGGUCAAGCAAAUCCCAUAAAGUUGUUCUCAGUUCGGAUUGUAGUCUGCAACUCGACUACAUGAAGCUGGAAUCGCUAGUAAUCGUAGAUCAGCAUGCUACGGUGAAUACGUUCCCGGGUCU
RNAcentral lists this ribosomal RNA (1372 nucleotides) under uncultured bacterium. RNAcentral describes it as "bacterial SSU rRNA". It matches the Rfam family "Bacterial small subunit ribosomal RNA", at positions 28 to 1381 of the family's 1533-position model. The record is from RNAcentral.